UCAGCCAUGUGUAUGGUUGGCAUGAGAAAAGAGCUAUACAAAAGGAGCAACCUUCUCACCCUCUUUACAAAUUAUUUCUUGUGAUUAAAGUGACAAUGAAAAUGAAACAAAUCACAGCUGUUUGUUACCAUUUUUUAAAGCAAGUGAAGAACCCCAAGCAAACAAGCACUACAACAGGGAGCUCUCAGAUGUUGACUCUCAUUUCUAGGCAUGAUCCCUCCGAAGCAGCAUUCAAAGCAUGGACAGGCGACCAAUGGUCUCUGAAGAAGAUGGAAUUAGUAAUUUUGUUCUCACUCUGGAACUUAAACUGCUACAUUUUUUCAUGCAAGAAAUUCAGCUAGAGAUUGCAACUGUACAGGAAAAAUAAAUCUUAGUAUGCCGGAUACCCUGGCACCAGAGAGCCUUUGAAACCUUCUCCUGUUUCUUCAACACCUGAUGGCGAUCGUUUGACUGGAGAUUUACAACUGACCUAAGACUCAAAUAGCUGAAGUUACAGAAGCUUGAAAUGGUGCUGGAUUCACUGGAGCAACAGUGUAACCGCCAUCCGAUGGCUGCUGACCAGUGAAAUGAGAUGGUAAUUUCUGCAUUCCAGUGGUCAAAUGUUCCUACCAUCAAAACCACCAACGCAUCUCAAGGAAAAAAGUUAUUUAGAGGCCUUAUCUUCUGGUGACAUUUGCAUAUGUUUGAGCUCUAACCACAUCAUUCACAUUACUAGCUUUAAUAGAAUAUCUCCUGUGAUAGUUUAUCCCAGGCUACAAAAAGUUUGAGGAGAUAAUUAACCAAGGCCUUCAUCCUGCAAGUUCUUACGCAUGCGAUGACAAUGCUCCCUGACACAAUAACAGUUAAAAAGGAAAACUUAUUCCAGAGAUGAAACUAGUUCAACACCUGAACAAUAUUUUCAAACUGUAAUAUACUCUCUCAGUAGCGAUUUCUUCUCUCAUUAGCCUUGUAAUUAGUAUUAUCAUCAAUGUCCCUAUUCAGAUGUGAAUGUGUACUAAUAGUAAUGCCCACAUCUGUAAGAACGGGCUUUAUGUGGAAAGGGGAAAAUCCUUUGGCAGGAAAUGUCUUUUUUUUUUUCUUAAACAAAAGAGAGAAUGGCAGUACUAUACUUUCAAAACCAACUCCCGGCAAAGAUGUAGUAUAAUUUAUUUUGAGAAACACUAAUAAGUAAUAAGCUAGGAAAAAAGAGAUUGUGCUAAAUUAUGGCUUGAAUUAUCUUCUUGAAAUUAUUACAAUACUCUUAAACCAAUUUAUUCUGGAUUAUUUUAACAGAAAAACAUUAUCUUACAGUUACAGACUAUCAGGAUCUUGCUCUUAGUGUAGUAAAUCACACACACAGAGAGGCAUAUUCAGGUAUGUAUACAGUUAUGCAUUUACCAAGCAUUUAUAUUUUCAUACUAUUACUUUCUAUUUACAUUUCUAACACAGCACAAUAUCCAAUUUCCAGGAAUCCUACUAAGACUAGUGAGAAAGAACCUGUGCUUAGGAAAAUACUUAAAAGGACAUUACCUAAAACUAGCUUGGCAACCUACUUUUUAGGCCAAAAAGGAUACGUUGCAAACAUGAAUGAAAAGAUCACAUAGUUCUCUUUAAAACCAAAAGUAGUUAUUUAAAUAUUAAGUUGUAUAAAUCUUGUAGAUAAACAAACUGAAAUUUCACUGGUAUCAUUUAAUACAACCAUUGAUGCAGGUGAGUUGCUAUUUACCUUCCUAACUUACUAUCAGUCACAUAUUAUAAAGAAAGACUUGCCACCCUCCCACCUCUGGUCUGUGUGUUUGCAAGCAAAAGGUGCCAUGAAAAAGAAAACUCCUGAAAAAAUUAUUUACCAGAAAUCCUUUUAAAGAGACAGAGGUAAAAUUAUUCAUCUUACAACUGAAAAAGUCUAUCAAAUGAAGUAGACAUUCUGUUUCUGCACUUAGGAUAGUUCAUUACAGUAUUGUCAGUAUUGCUUAGCCUUUGGGUACCUAAUGUCUUGGAAAUAUAGUAGAAUGUUCUAGCAGAAUCCUAUAAAUAAAAGAUGUCUGUGUUGUGGUUUUUGUUUGGGUUUGGGUUUUUUGUGAGUGGUGGUUUUUGGUUUUUUUCUCAGUAAGACCCCCAUCCCAAACUUUAAAAAGUAUUUGUGGUUUAAAACUUUUUACAGUUUAUCAAGUUACAUUGAGAAGAAUGUUUUUACUGCUAUUUUAUUAGUCCAUAAUAGAGAGUUUUAUAAGAUAAUUUUGAAAAAAGCAUCUUCAAUAAAACAUAAAAUAAUGACUUUGUGGGAGGAAAAUAACCCCUAUAAAUAAUAGCUACUUCUAUAAUGUUUGUGAACAGGUUUAACAUAUCAAUGUGUACAUAGUCAUAAUACAGACCAGUCAAUAAAACAGCAAGCCUCUAACUUUUUCAUGCUCAAACAAUGUUGCUUUUUAAUAGGUUUUGACUCAUGCUUUCUCCCUUCACUUCUGUCUAAGCGGCUA
Strigops habroptila (Kakapo) is the source of this 2456-nucleotide long non-coding RNA. RefSeq lists it as uncharacterized. Lineage: Eukaryota; Metazoa; Chordata; Aves; Psittaciformes; Psittacidae. The transcript has 4 exons. The record is from RefSeq and is a predicted model, not a curated record.